AUUGAACGCUGGCGGCAUGCUUUACACAUGCAAGUCGAACGGUAACAGGUUAAGCUGACGAGUGGCGAACGGGUGAGUAAUGCAUCGGAACGUGCCCGGUCGGGGGGGAUAACGCAGCGAAAGCUGCGCUAAUACCGCAUACGAUCUGAGGAUGAAAGCGGGGGACCGUAAGGCCUCGCGCGAUCGGAGCGGCCGAUGUCAGAUUAGGUAGUUGGGGGGGUAAAGGCUCACCAAGCCAACGAUCUGUAGCUGGUCUGAGAGGACGACCAGCCACACUGGGACUGAGACACGGCCCAGACUCCUACGGGAGGCAGCAGGGGGGAAUGUUGGACAAUGGGCGAAAGCCUGAUCCAGCAAUGCCGCGUGCAGGAAGAAGGCCUUCGGGUUGUAAACUGCUUUUGUACGGAGCGAAAAGGUCUCCUCUAAUACAGGGGGCUCAUGACGGUACCGUAAGAAUAAGCACCGGUUAACUACGUGCCAGCAGCCGCCGUAA
RNAcentral lists this ribosomal RNA (493 nucleotides) under uncultured bacterium. RNAcentral's name for it is "partial 16S ribosomal RNA". It matches the Rfam family "Bacterial small subunit ribosomal RNA", at positions 29 to 523 of the family's 1533-position model. The record is from RNAcentral.